ACACCGCAAGUUCCUUUAUCAUAAUCCGAUGCAAAAGCUCGACAACCAUACUAUGGACUCAAAAUUCUUAGGCACCAUACUUAUUUUUAAAUCUACUAGGACAGUCAUUGCGAGUCACCCAUUUUGACUUGGUCCCGAAUAUAAUCAACGACAAGGCUCCUCUAGCACAUGACCAUCCUCUUAUAGAAGCAACCGGCUGAAUCACCUUC
Molecule: long non-coding RNA, 209 nt
Filed under: Nicotiana benthamiana
Lineage: Eukaryota; Viridiplantae; Streptophyta; Magnoliopsida; Solanales; Solanaceae
Description: long non-coding RNA (NBEN_LNC035280)
Source: RNAcentral